Molecule: ribosomal RNA, 492 nt
Filed under: uncultured bacterium
Lineage: Bacteria
Description: partial 16S ribosomal RNA
Rfam family: Bacterial small subunit ribosomal RNA
Source: RNAcentral
AGUGAACGCUGGCGGCAGGCCUAACACAUGCAAGUCGAACGGCAGCACCGUAAGAGCUUGCUCUUACGGGUGGCGAGUGGCGGACGGGUGAGGAAUACAUCGGAAUCUACUUUUUCGUGGGGGAUAACGUAGGGAAACUUACGCUAAUACCGCAUACGACCUACGGGUGAAAGCAGGGGAUCUUCGGACCUUGCGCGAUUGAAUGAGCCGAUGUCGGAUUAGCUAGUUGGCGGGGUAAAGGCCCACCAAGGCGACGAUCCGUAGCUGGUCUGAGAGGAUGGUCAGCCACACUGGAACUGAGACACGGUCCAGACUCCUACGGGAGGCAGCAGUGGGGUAUAUUGGACAAUGGGCGCAAGCCUGAUCCAGUCAUACCGCGUGGGUGAAGAAGGCCUUCGGGUUGUAAAGCCCUUUUGUUGGGAAAGAAAAGCAGCAGGUUAAUACCCCGCUGUUCUGACGGUACCCAAAGAAUAAGCACCGGCUAACUACGUG